AGAUACAGAAACGUCAAAUUCUGCAAGCUACCAAAAAUAUCAGGAACUUCUCCAGAAAAAUCAUUGUUAGACAAAUCCAAAUACUCAAGUGAAGUACAGUUUCCUAAAGUGGAAGGCAAUAAACCAGAGAAACUGUUAAGACUGAGAUCCAAUGUGACCAAGCUCUUAAGCUCCCCAAUUUCAGAACCUAAUUGGCCUGAAAGCCCAGAAGCAGACAAAUUAAGGGUCUCGACGACAUUACCAGAAAGAUCACAAAUGACACCAAACCAGUUAUUAUUACAUGGAGUGGUUUCAGAUGUGUUCUCCUUCCACGUCGAAGCUACUUCAAGUGGGACUUUAUCAAAGUGCUUGAGAAGCGAGAGUAAAGCCAAACCAUCUGAGUUUAAACUAGAGACAGAAUCUAUACGGAAAUAGACAAAGAGAGAGCAAAGCAGAGUAAUUUCGAGUAACCCAAGAUUCCUCAUUUGAGAUUAGAGCUCAAGAGACUGAAAUAUGAAACACUCGUACGUAGUAACCUCACUCAACAACCCUUGAACCCAGAAUGAGAGGCGGAAAAAAAAAAGAGAGAGCUUUUGGAUUUGAAAGGGUAUCUGGAUUUAGUGACAGGAACAGAUUGCAUUAUUUAAGAAACGAUCGAUGAGUUUGGUGAGAGAGAAAAAGAGCGCGCUUUUUGGUUAACUCUUCGUCAGAGAUUGUGAACCUAACUUUACGAAUUGGCGACCUUCAACGCUGUUUCGUG
Molecule: long non-coding RNA, 739 nt
Organism: Arabidopsis thaliana (thale cress)
Lineage: Eukaryota; Viridiplantae; Streptophyta; Magnoliopsida; Brassicales; Brassicaceae
Product: other RNA
Exons: 1
Source: RefSeq